RNAcentral lists this ribosomal RNA (804 nucleotides) under Bacillus sp. AUBB12. RNAcentral's name for it is "bacterial SSU rRNA". It matches the Rfam family "Bacterial small subunit ribosomal RNA", at positions 58 to 843 of the family's 1533-position model. The record is from RNAcentral. Lineage: Bacteria; Bacillati; Bacillota; Bacilli; Caryophanales; Bacillaceae.
CAAGUCGAGCGGACAGAUGGGAGCUUGCUCCCUGAUGUUAGCGGCGGACGGGUGAGUAACACGUGGGUAACCUGCCUGUAAGACUGGGAUAACUCCGGGAAACCGGGGCUAAUACCGGAUGGUUGUUUGAACCGCAUGGUUCAAACAUAAAAGGUGGCUUCGGCUACCACUUACAGAUGGACCCGCGGCGCAUUAGCUAGUUGGUGAGGUAAUGGCUCACCAAGGCAACGAUGCGUAGCCGACCUGAGAGGGUGAUCGGCCACACUGGGACUGAGACACGGCCCAGACUCCUACGGGAGGCAGCAGUAGGGAAUCUUCCGCAAUGGACGAAAGUCUGACGGAGCAACGCCGCGUGAGUGAUGAAGGUUUUCGGAUCGUAAAGCUCUGUUGUUAGGGAAGAACAAGUACCGUUCGAAUAGGGCGGUACCUUGACGGUACCUAACCAGAAAGCCACGGCUAACUACGUGCCAGCAGCCGCGGUAAUACGUAGGUGGCAAGCGUUGUCCGGAAUUAUUGGGCGUAAAGGGCUCGCAGGCGGUUUCUUAAGUCUGAUGUGAAAGCCCCCGGCUCAACCGGGGAGGGUCAUUGGAAACUGGGGAACUUGAGUGCAGAAGAGGAGAGUGGAAUUCCACGUGUAGCGGUGAAAUGCGUAGAGAUGUGGAGGAACACCAGUGGCGAAGGCGACUCUCUGGUCUGUAACUGACGCUGAGGAGCGAAAGCGUGGGGAGCGAACAGGAUUAGAUACCCUGGUAGUCCACGCCGUAAACGAUGAGUGCUAAGUGUUAGGGGGUUUCCGCCCCUUAG